This is a non-coding RNA of Microcebus murinus (gray mouse lemur), 1393 nucleotides long. Lineage: Eukaryota; Metazoa; Chordata; Mammalia; Primates; Cheirogaleidae. The record is from RefSeq and is a predicted model, not a curated record.
CCUGCGGGGGAACCCUGGCUGGCUUCUGCAGCCGCGGGUCUGCAGCCCCUGCACACAUUUGCAACAGUGUUUCCGCUGUCUGCAGGCUGCAGAGACCUGAGCAUGCCCAACGUGAAAGCGCAAUUAAGGAAAAUGCAGGCAGAGCGUGGACGCUGAAACUUGGCUAAGCUAUUGAGAAGGCUACAAUAUGUGGAAGUGUUUAUCAGAUAUCUGCGCUGAGAGCAUAACUUCCUGUCAGCCUAAAUAGUGGCAAUUUUUUUGUUGCUGUUAAGGCCAAAGAAUAAUCAGAGGGAGGGGAUUUGGAGCUGACACGGGUUGAGUGUUGCACUUUGCAGGACUGGUUAACUGUGCGGAUUAUUCGUUAAUUGAAAGAAUGAACACAAGUUAGAAACAGUCAUCUUCACCUCUGUUAUUAUGCUGUAUAGUUUAAGGAAGAUGCUCUGAUGGUGAAGAAGAAAUCUUGGACUAGUCCUCACUCAGUGAAACCAUUUUCCAUGCACUGGGAAUGUGAUGUUGUAGAGAAGGGCUGUUUGUGAAGAUUUCCCCUGGAAAUAGUUCCUAAGACAAGGAUUCAAGUGCAAGUACUUUAUCUGAGAGGGGCUCCCAUGAAACACAAGCAGGAGAGAAGGGAAGUGGUGCAGGAAAGGGGAGGCAACCAAGAAGAAAUGCGUUAUGAAUCAUCCAUCUACCAAAGCAGCCAGAGCCAGCCUCAAAGAAUGGGAGUGGCAGCCCUUUAAUCCCAGUCACCAGAGACUGGGUACAAAACAGGAUCUUUCGACUUCAUAAGGGAAAGCUGGCUUUCUUGGCUGCAUUCCCUCCAUCUUUGAAAAGAAUAUGAUUUUCUUACAACUGGGAAGAGCGGGAAUCCUACGAGGAUCAGUAAACAUCCAGUGGACAGGGCUGUGCCUAUCUUGUUCACCGCUAUAGCUCCAGGGCUGAGGAUAUGCCUGGCACCAGAGAGCCUCAGAAAAUAUUUGUUGAAUGAAUGGAUGAAGAAAUGGGUAAACAAAAUGUUUUCUCCUUGAAUUAUCCAAAGAAGCUACUGGAUAAUCUUUCAGUCCUAUACUCUGCUUGGACACUGAAGAUUUAAAAAAAAUCUUUUCAAAAAGUCAGAAAUCAAUUUGGAGCCCUUUUCAAGAAUAACUCUUUUAGGAACCCAUGUAUGAUGGGAAUAUAAAAGGAUGUCUUGCUUCCUAUCCUCUGGUAUCUUCUUCAGGACAAUGUCAUAUGUUGCCAAAAGCAAGAAGGCAAGUAUCUCUCAAAUGCAGUGCAGACAAAUUGCCUACUGCUAGUUAAUGAAAAGGAAACAAAAUUGAUCUUACUUGGUACUUUUAUAUAAAUAAAAAUAUUUUUAAACCCUCAGACCAGAAAACUUCCCUAGAGUAAUAUUGAA